RNAcentral lists this ribosomal RNA (1369 nucleotides) under uncultured bacterium. Its description in RNAcentral is "bacterial SSU rRNA". It matches the Rfam family "Bacterial small subunit ribosomal RNA", at positions 28 to 1387 of the family's 1533-position model. The record is from RNAcentral.
AUUGAACGCUUUCGGCAGGCCUAACACAUGCAAGUCGAACGGUAACAGAAAGCAGCUUGCUGCUUUGCUGACGAGUGGCGGACUGGUGAGUAAUGUCUGGGAAACUGCCUGAUGGAGGGGGAUAACUACUGGAAACGGUAGCUAAUACCGCAUAACGUCGCAAGACCAAAGAGGGGGACCUUCGGGCCUCUUGCCAUCGGAUGUGCCCAGAUGGGAUUAGCUAGUAGGUGGGGUAACGGCUCACCUAGGCGACGAUCCCUAGCUGGUCUGAGAGGAUGACCAGCCACACUGGAACUGAGACACGGUCCAGACUCCUACGGGAGGCAGCAGUGGGGAAUAUUGCACAAUGGGCGCAAGCCUGAUGCAGCCAUGCCGCGUGUAUGAAGAAGGCCUUCGGGUUGUAAAGUACUUUCAGCGGGGAGGAAGGGAGUAAAGUUAAUACCUUUGCUCAUUGACGUUACCCGCAGAAGAAGCACCGGCUAACUCCGUGCCAGCAGCCGCGGUAAUACGGAGGGUGCAAGCGUUAAUCGGAAUUACUGGGCGUAAAGCGCACGCAGGCGGUUUGUUAAGUCAGAUGUGAAAUCCCCGGGCUCAACCUGGGAACUGCAUCUGAUACUGGCAAGCUUGAGUCUCGUAGAGGGGGGUGGAAUUCCAGGUGUAGCGGUGAAAUGCGUAGAGAUCUGGAGGAAUACCGGUGGCGAAGGCGGCCCCCUGGACGAAGACUGACGCUCAGGUGCGAAAGCGUGGGGAGCAAACAGGAUUAGAUCCCCUGGUAGUCCCACCCGUAAACGAUGUCGACUUGAAGGUUGGCCCCUGGAGGCGUGGCUUCCGGAGGUAACGCGUUAAGUCGACCGCCUGGGGAGUACGGCCGCAAGGUUAAAACUCAAAUGAAUUGACGGGGGCCCGCACAAGCGGUGGAGCAUGUGGUUUAAUUCGAUGCAACGCGAAGAACCUUACCUGGUCUUGACAUCCACAGAACUUUCCAGAGAUGGAUUGGUGCCUUCGGGAACUGUGAGACAGGUGCUGCAUGGCUGUCGUCAGCUCGUGUUGUGAAAUGUUGGGUUAAGUCCCGCAACGAGCGCAACCCUUAUCCUUUGUUGCCAGCGGUCCGGCCGGGAACUCAAAGGAGACUGCCAGUGAUAAACUGGAGGAAGGUGGGGAUGACGUCAAGUCAUCAUGGCCCUUACGACCAGGGCUACACACGUGCUACAAUGGCGCAUACAAAGAGAAGCGACCUCGCGAGAGCAAGCGGACCUCAUAAAGUGCGUCGUAGUCCGGAUUGGAGUCUGCAACUCGACUCCAUGAAGUCGGAAUCGCUAGUAAUCGUGGAUCAGAAUGCCACGGUGAAUACGUUCCCGGGCCUUGCACA